Molecule: long non-coding RNA, 1707 nt
Filed under: Gossypium barbadense (sea-island cotton)
Lineage: Eukaryota; Viridiplantae; Streptophyta; Magnoliopsida; Malvales; Malvaceae
Description: long non-coding RNA (GBAR_LNC001423)
Source: RNAcentral
AGCAAAUUACUUAAUAGCAAUCAACAUAAACUAAGAAGGACAAUUGGCAUAAAUAAAUAAACUAUUAAUAAUGAAAUAAGGACUCAUAUAUGACACACUUGAUUUCACAGGGACCAUGUUUGAAAUUAUUCCUAAUCUUAAAACAUUGCAUGAAGACAGGGACUAAAAUGCCAAAACAUAUAAAUCUGAUGAACAAUUUAAAAACAGAGAAUAAAGCAAAUUAGGCGCAAAGGGGAGCAGACCUUGAUGCAGCGCAAAGAGAAGGGGCCUGCUGCGUAAAUAUUCCAUCUUUGGCGCAUCUGGAUGGAGUCGGGUCUCCAAUUGGGCGAAUGCGCGGACCCUUCCCCCCCUUUUGUUUUACACGGCGCCGUUUCAAACAGAUGAAGGCAUUUAAACCUUUUUUUUUCUCUGCAUCAUCCCCAGAACACAACCCCCUUUUGCAACCGAAAAUUACAGCCUGGGAACUAAUUUUUUAGGGUUUCUUUUUAGCAUUCGAAUCACCAUUGUUUUGGUGACCAUCUGCAUGUAAAGAGCACCCAGUCUCCUCGUUGAAGGUAGUUGAGCAAGUUUUAAAAAUGAUUUAGUAAGUAUCUUUCUCUUCUCCUCCUUUAUUUCGUUUGAAAAGAAACUCAAAUCUUAUACCAUUUUAUUUUACAAAACGAAAGGAAAUUCAUGAAAUACAAAGAGUUUGUUAUUGCUUGACCUCUCGCCCUCAAAUCCGCACAACAUAAGUAUUUGGGGCUCUCAUCGGUCUCAGAUCAUGUAAAAAAAAUAUAUGAGUAAACUAAGAGAGAAAAUAAAAAGAAAAAAAAAACUGGAAAAAUAUGAAAUCACCUUUAUCAAUUGCUUUUUUUUUCUAUUCUCUCUGUGUACAGAUACUAUCCUCGUAUAGUAUAUUCUAUGUGUGUGUGUGUCCUCUUAUCUCCUCUGUCUGAUUACAAUGAUUUAGGGCUCUUAUAUAGCCGAAAAGAAGAAAGAAAAAAAUAAUACAAAGAAGUCAUUUUCUCUUGUUUUUCUUGCUCUUUGCUGCUAUGUUUGUCUCUUUCGCAGGUACGGGGCGACGUGGAGGCGUACGAGGCUGUGCUGGCGCGGGUACGGACGUAGCUGGGGUUCGGCUGCGGCGUGAGGAGAGAACCCUAGGGUUCCUGUUCUUGAAAUGUUUCGGGUCUAUUGGGCCUUGUAAGUUUGGGUUAGGUUUAGUUAUUGGUUUUAGGCUGAUGGGGUUGUGUAAUUGGGCUUGGGAUAUUUUGGGCAGUUUGGGUUAGUUGGGUUAGGUUUAGGUUUGGGCUUUGGUAUUGGACUUCAAUGUUUGUAAAAGGGACAUUGGAUUUAUUAUAUAUUUUGGUAUUUUGGUAGGCCCGGGCUAAAAUUGAGCAUUACAGUGACAAUAAACAUGGCACUUGGUGUGAAGGGGUUUAUAUUAAAAAACUAUAAAAAUGUUUUAAAAAAUUAUUAAAAUGAUAAAAAAAUCAUAAAAUUUAUAGAAGAGUAGUAAUUUUUAAAAUUUUAUCAUAUUUAAAAAUAUUUGAAUGAUUUAUAUAAGUUUUCUAUAAUUUUUAAAAUUUUUAAUAAAAAAUUAAUUCUCCUUUUUUGUUUUCCCUCAUAUAUUGCUCUACAUCACAUUUUAGUCUAUCCUUAUCAACUUUCCUUCCAUCACCUUGAUGGGUGUCGAAACCAUCAAAUAUAAAUUCCUACAACAAAGAUAAC